Molecule: ribosomal RNA, 253 nt
Filed under: uncultured bacterium
Lineage: Bacteria
Description: partial 16S ribosomal RNA
Rfam family: Bacterial small subunit ribosomal RNA
Source: RNAcentral
UACAGAGGUCUCAAGCGUUGUUCGGAUUCAUUGGGCGUAAAGGGUGCGUAGGCGGCGCGGUAAGUCGGGUGUGAAAUCUCGGAGCUUAACUCCGAAACUGCAUUCGAUACUGCCGUGCUCGAGGACUGGAGAGGAGACUGGAAUUUACGGUGUAGCGGUGAAAUGCGUAGAUAUCAUAAGGAAGACCAGUGGCGAAGGCGGGUCUCUGGACAGUUCCUGACGCUGAGGCACGAAGGCCAGGGGAGCAAACGGG